This 73-nucleotide transfer RNA is filed under the name Camelus bactrianus (Bactrian camel). It matches the Rfam family "tRNA". Rfam says of the family: Transfer RNA (tRNA) molecules are approximately 80 nucleotides in length. The record is from Rfam by way of RNAcentral. RNAcentral also lists the same sequence under 2 other names. Lineage: Eukaryota; Metazoa; Chordata; Mammalia; Artiodactyla; Camelidae.
AAAUAGAUAGGCUCAGUGGUAGAGAGUGUGCUUAGCAUGCACGAGGCCCUGGGUUUAAUCCCCAGUCCCUUUA